This 301-nucleotide ribosomal RNA is filed under the name uncultured bacterium. RNAcentral's name for it is "partial 16S ribosomal RNA". It matches the Rfam family "Bacterial small subunit ribosomal RNA", at positions 509 to 807 of the family's 1533-position model. The record is from RNAcentral.
CAGUAGCCACGGGAAAACGAAGGGGGCUAGCGUUGCUCGGAAUGACUGGGCGUAAAGGGCGCGUAGGCGGUUUUGACAGUCAGAUGUGAAAUUCCUGGGCUUAACCUGGGGGCUGCAUUUGAGACGUCAAGACUAGAGUGUGAGAGAGGGUUGUGGAAUUCCCAGUGUAGAGGUGAAAUUCGUAGAUACUGGGAAGAACACCGGUGGCGAAGGCGGCAACCUGGCUCAUUACUGACGCUGAGGCGCGAAAGCGUGGGGAGCAAACAGGAUUAGAUACCCGCGUAGUCCCUGUCUCUUAUAC